CUCUCUCUUUCUUCUCCUUUAAAUUCCGUUUAUUCACACGAUUUUGAUGCUCAUUUCCACCCAUCUUCCAUCCUUUCCUAUCUCAAAUUCCUCCAAUCUCGUUACUUCCAACCCAUCUCUGGAAAAGGAAAAGAGAAAGAAGGAGAACAAAAGAAAGAGGAAGAAGAUUUGGAGAUCGAGAAAAGGAAAGAAGAUGUUAUUGUUUCAACCGUUUUGAGAAAGGCGAGAACACACCAUCUUGGUCUUCCCAAUUCUUCUUUUCUCGAUUGCUCUUUCUU
This 278-nucleotide non-coding RNA is filed under the name Paramoeba aestuarina. The record is from RNAcentral. Lineage: Eukaryota; Discosea; Flabellinia; Dactylopodida; Paramoebidae.